This 843-nucleotide ribosomal RNA is filed under the name Escherichia coli. RNAcentral's name for it is "partial 23S ribosomal RNA". It matches the Rfam family "Bacterial large subunit ribosomal RNA", at positions 2006 to 2843 of the family's 2925-position model. The record is from RNAcentral. Lineage: Bacteria; Pseudomonadati; Pseudomonadota; Gammaproteobacteria; Enterobacterales; Enterobacteriaceae.
GAUGGCCAGGCUGUCUCCACCCGAGACUCAGUGAAAUUGAACUCGCUGUGAAGAUGCAGUGUACCCGCGGCAAGACGGAAAGACCCCGUGAACCUUUACUAUAGCUUGACACUGAACAUUGAGCCUUGAUGUGUAGGAUAGGUGGGAGGCUUUGAAGUGUGGACGCCAGUCUGCAUGGAGCCGACCUUGAAAUACCACCCUUUAAUGUUUGAUGUUCUAACGUUGACCCGUAAUCCGGGUUGCGGACAGUGUCUGGUGGGUAGUUUGACUGGGGCGGUCUCCUCCUAAAGAGUAACGGAGGAGCACGAAGGUUGGCUAAUCCUGGUCGGACAUCAGGAGGUUAGUGCAAUGGCAUAAGCCAGCUUGACUGCGAGCGUGACGGCGCGAGCAGGUGCGAAAGCAGGUCAUAGUGAUCCGGUGGUUCUGAAUGGAAGGGCCAUCGCUCAACGGAUAAAAGGUACUCCGGGGAUAACAGGCUGAUACCGCCCAAGAGUUCAUAUCGACGGCGGUGUUUGGCACCUCGAUGUCGGCUCAUCACAUCCUGGGGCUGAAGUAGGUCCCAAGGGUAUGGCUGUUCGCCAUUUAAAGUGGUACGCGAGCUGGGUUUAGAACGUCGUGAGACAGUUCGGUCCCUAUCUGCCGUGGGCGCUGGAGAACUGAGGGGGGCUGCUCCUAGUACGAGAGGACCGGAGUGGACGCAUCACUGGUGUUCGGGUUGUCAUGCCAAUGGCACUGCCCGGUAGCUAAAUGCGGAAGAGAUAAGUGCUGAAAGCAUCUAAGCACGAAACUUGCCCCGAGAUGAGUUCUCCCUGACUCCUUGAGAGUCCUGAAGGAACGUUGAAG